Molecule: non-coding RNA, 206 nt
Filed under: Pontibacillus halophilus
Lineage: Bacteria; Bacillati; Bacillota; Bacilli; Caryophanales; Bacillaceae
Description: T-box sequence
Rfam family: T-box leader
About the family: Uncharged tRNA acts as the effector for transcription antitermination of genes in the T-box leader family. T-boxes are found upstream of many aminoacyl-tRNA synthetase genes and some amino acid biosynthetic genes usually in Gram-positive bacteria.
Source: RNAcentral
GGAAUCGCUAUGAUGGGUUGCAGUAAAUCCUAGAAUUCUGCUUUCAGAGAGCUGACGGUUGGUGAGAGUCAGUACAGACCUAGAGAUUGAAUUACGUCCUUGAGCUUCUUCUGUGAAAGCAGAAGACGGUGUAACGCCGUUAUCUUAACUGAGUUGGCAACUAUGUUGCAACAAGGGUGGUACCGCGAGAAGACCUCGUCCCUUUA